UUUCAUGGCCAAAUCUCCUUGUCAAAGCCUGAUCACGUCAGAUCUCAGCAACGAAGCAAGGCCGGGUCUGGUUAGUACUUGGAUGGGAGACCGCUGGGAAUUCGAGGUGCUGCAGUGGGAC
Molecule: ribosomal RNA, 121 nt
Filed under: Periophthalmus magnuspinnatus
Lineage: Eukaryota; Metazoa; Chordata; Actinopteri; Gobiiformes; Gobiidae
Source: RNAcentral